CCUACGGGAGGCAGCAGUGAGGAAUAUUGGUCAAUGGGCGCAAGCCUGAACCAGCCAAGUCGCGUGAGGGAUGACGGCCCUACGGGUUGUAAACUUCUUUUAUAAGGGAAUAAAGUGAGGCACGUGUGCCGUUUUGUAGGUACUUUAUGAAUACGGCUCGGCUAACUCCGUGCCAGCAGCCGCGGUAAUACGGAGGAACCGAGCGUUAUCCGGAUUUAUUUGGUUGAAAGGGAGCGUAGGGGGGUUGUUAAGUCCGUUGUGAAAGUGUGAGGCCUAACCGGAAGAUUGCAAUUGAUACUGGAAGCCUUGAGUGGAGGAGAGGUAGGCGGAAUUCGUGGUGUAGCGGUGAAAUGCUUAGAUAUCACGAAGAACUCCGAUUGCGAAGGCAGCUUACUAGACUGCAACUGACAUUGAGGCUCGAAAGUGUGGGUAUCAAACAGGAUUAGAUACCCCGGUAGUC
Molecule: ribosomal RNA, 460 nt
Filed under: uncultured bacterium
Lineage: Bacteria
Description: partial 16S ribosomal RNA
Rfam family: Bacterial small subunit ribosomal RNA
Source: RNAcentral